CAGCAGCCCGGUAAUACGUAGGGUGCAAGCGUUAAUCGGAAUUACUGGGCGUAAAGCGUGCGCAGGCGGUUAUAUAAGACAGAUGUGAAAUCCCCGGGCUCAACCUGGGAACUGCAUUUGUGACUGUAUAGCUAGAGUACGGCAGAGGGGGAUGGAAUUCCGCGUGUAGCAGUGAAAUGCGUAGAUAUGCGGAGGAACACCGAUGGCGAAGGCAAUCCCCUGGGCCUGUACUGACGCUCAUGCACGAAAGCGUGGGGAGCAAACAGGAUUAGAUACCCCCGUAGUCCCUGUCUCUUAUACA
This 301-nucleotide ribosomal RNA is filed under the name uncultured bacterium. RNAcentral describes it as "partial 16S ribosomal RNA". It matches the Rfam family "Bacterial small subunit ribosomal RNA", at positions 509 to 808 of the family's 1533-position model. The record is from RNAcentral.